Long non-coding RNA from Ornithorhynchus anatinus (platypus), 360 nucleotides. RefSeq lists it as uncharacterized. The transcript is spliced from 4 exons. The record is from RefSeq and is a predicted model, not a curated record. Lineage: Eukaryota; Metazoa; Chordata; Mammalia; Monotremata; Ornithorhynchidae.
AGUUCGAGAGGAUUGUGAAACAAAGAAGGAGAAAGGAAAACAGAAGAAAGCAUGGCAAGCAACAAACAAAACUAUACAACAAAGCUGAGAAAUCAAGAAGGACAAGGAUGGAGUGAAAGCGGUUGGAUUUGGCACACCAUGUCUGCAUGGACCUGCCAGAGGCAGCUGGGGACAGAUCCUGAAAGGCAUCUGCUGGAAAAGUGAAACGAGAUUAAUUUUGAAGGAGGUUCCUGGAUCUUGAUUUGUGUGGCUAUUUGCAUUUAUGUCACCCGCCUCAGAUUGGAAGUUCCUGGAGGUCAGGGACAGUGCCUUGUUCUUCCUCUGUAAUUUCCCAUAGCCCCUACUUCAGGCCUCUGCAUG